AACUUCAAGGAAAAUGAAGACACAUGCAGGUCUGGUCAUCUGCAAUAUCAGGGUCUCCGAUUAUAACUGAGCGGUCACAUCCGCUCCCCGACGGUGCUAGUCAUCUCUCUCUGAGACUCUCAGGAGCCAUGCCAGCCAUUGUCUCUUUUCAAGUCCUCAAUGCAAUUGGUAGCAAGUUCUGUCAUCAGUGACUGCUGCUAACAUGAAGAGUGAUGGUCGGCCGUGGGUUGGCUGAAGUCCACAGAGGACUCUGCACCAAGCUAGGCUUGGCUCAUUGUCAUAGGCUGGCCUCCGACUGGCUCAGUCUGGGCUUAUUUUGGGGCUCAGGCUGAAUGAGCAGUAACUACUCAGGGGAAAACUCCCCUCAUGGCAUUGACUUUAGUGCUGGGAGCUAGCGGAAACUCAUAGGCAUCUUAUAUUUGAAGCUUGAAACUGGCUCACUGUUGCGUGAGCCCAUAUUCUGUGGGCCAAAGCGAGUCACACAGAGGAGGCCACCGUCAAAGGACAGACAAGUGCUUACCCCUUUUGAGUUAGGGACUGUAAAGUUCCACGGCAGAAGGCAGGGCCUCCCGGAAGAGUGAAGACUUGGAGUUGUUGAAUCAGUCUACCGGACAUGGUCCACAAUAACGGGACACCACAUUCAUCUUCCCUGGAGGACUCACUGAUAGGCAGUUGACUACUGUCUUCUUGUUGAUUGGAGUGAUCAACUUAAAGAUGUUAAAGAUGCCCUGGACUGAGUUAGAAGAGCACCAGGAGUCCUUGAAGGGGUUAGACGAGAACUGAGACACAGAACAUUCAUCCUUACACAAGCUUAGAGUAUAACAGCUCUCAGCUAUUUUUUUCUUUCCUCUUUCUGAGAAAAUGCAAAAAGUGCUUUUCUUCACACCAUUGGACAAAUUACCCCAGGAUAAAUUGAAUCGUGUUUACAGUCUAGUGGUUUUAUGCAAUCAAUUUUUUUAAAGCUGAGUUUAAAACUGGAACACUUCAAUAAUAUCAAAAACCUAAGUAGUUUUAGGAGAUCUCCUCCCAGUGGCAUGGGAAAAGAGCAGUGUAACUAAAACUGGAAGUUCUGGUCCAAGUUCAGGCUCUGCUUUUUAUCAACAAUGUGGCCUUGAACAAGUUGCUUGUACUCUCCUUGGAUGUGAUAAUCGUACCUCCUCGGUAUGUCUGUUUGUUUUGUGAAAGUCAAUGACACACGUGAGUGUGCUUUAUAAAUUCUAAAAUGUUAACAAAUGUUGAGUUAUGAUUUUGAUGAUUCUUGUUCUCCUCUCCAUAAAUUGCUCAACAGUCUCACCAAUGAGCAAUCCUCUUUAUAAGGUUUAUUGUAUCGACAGUAGCUGAAUGAUGGGAAAAGGAGGACAAAAGGGGGCUGUCAAAUGAGACAAAGGGAACAGUGAGGGCACAGGAAGAAAGCCUGGCAUAUGGUGAGGUGGAGGAGGGGCGAGGUAUGGAGGACACUGGUCAGAGGAAGAAACACACACACACACACACACACACACACACACACACAUACAUUCAACUGUGCUUCUGCAGAAGUAGCUCUUACAUAAAAAAAGAUGGAUAGGAGGGUCGAAAUGUCUCUUCAUGAUCUUCUGUUGCCAGUUCUUGCCUUAUAAAACCAGUUGUCUAUUUUGGAUUGGCAGCUGUAGCCAUGACUAUUUAAUCAUAUUUAAUCUCUGUCUCAUUUUUUUCGAUGAAAAAAUGCCUUAAAAUGAUAUUUUUUAGAGCUGUUCUUAGGCCUUUAUAAAUAGACUGGUUCUCGUGUGCACCAAAUGCAGAGUUUCUAAUAAGGUGUGUAAGCAGUUCUGGAAACAGCCUCAGGUGGCAUUAUCAAUAAAUAUGUUAGUCAUCAGGUGUGGCCCUAGGAUUAUUUGAGAUUCUGGUUAUAAUGCAGACUCCUGGGACCUUCAAAUGGACCACACCAAUGUCAGUGUGAGUAGAACCUGGGAAUCUGCAUGCCAAACAAGAUUUUUAGGCAAUUGCUGUCCACACACCAGGAUGAGAAUCCCUGAUGGGGUCAAUCUGAGCACCAAGUGCAAGAUCCUGGGAGCAUAUCCACCUCACUGAAGCAGCUCCAGGCUGGCUGGGAUGCCCAGCACUUCCAGGCAAUUGGCUAACAGACUUUUCCCUGGAGGAUAAUUAAAGCAUUCUCCAUCCCUCAUCCUCCUUUAGUCCCUUCCAAAUUAGAAGUUUGGGGAUACUCCAUGGCAGGUUCCUCUCAGGUUUCUUGCCUUUUAUCUUUAGGCUUGAAUCUCACUCAAACCUCUCAGUUUCAGGUUGCAGGUUUAGUUUUGGUUAUGGGUGGUGAGUCACAGAAAGCAUGGGGUAUUUUUAUCUGCAACUUUUGGUGUGCUCUAGGACUAUGAUCUGUGCAUUUGGGCCAAAGGGAUCCUCUUUACAUGAUUUGUCAGAAGAGAGAAAACUUGAUAGCACAGGGGCCACUGUCAUGCAUCAAUCUACAUCAAAAGAACCCGUGCUUCCGGCCCGCCCCCUGCUCACUGCCUGAAGCCUUCACAAGCCUCAGACCACGCUCAGCCAAAGGAAAUGUGCGGAAGUGUAUUUUUCAUAGGAAUUAACUCUUGCAGCCAAACAGGCACAUCACGUUCUUUUAGAUCUGUUACCCUCCUAAAUGGCCAUGGUGUUUUUCUCAUCCACAGUGGUGUUCUGUUUUGUUAUAACUUUGCAAAUUCAAUGAAUGUUUUGUAGGUAAUAAAAGAAAGCCCAUGGAAUCUUCACUGCUUUAUUAAAAAAAAAAGAAAGAAAAUCUGUGGCCAAAGAAAAAAAUGUGACUGAAUUUUUAUUUAUGGUCAAUAAGCCCAGAUGAAUAUGUGGUAGACGUUGUGAACACUGCUACAAAGCAAAUCACCGUGUCAGGAGAAAUAUUAUUAAAUUCUAUAAUUUCCGUUUCUGAAAGUGGUUUCUCUGUGUGGAGUUGGAGAAAGAAAAUUACAUUCAAUAUUCACCUUAACUGAAAAGCAGCUGAGUGUGGUGGCUGAUAUCCUUUAAAUAGCAGAUCUGUGACCUCAUUCCUGUUCUCUCCCUGGCCUAGCUGUUUCCAGUUUCCAGUUGAAUAGAAAAUUGUCAAUCAUCUGGCGAAUGUGGGCAUAUAGGCCAGCUUAUUUGGGUAGUUCUGUCCCUGUCCUUGUUUUUCUGUAGGUCCUGUACCUGCAUUUAAAUGAAAGCAGCCUGUAGUCUAGGUCUGUUGCUUUAUGCCUAUAUGGCCCAGGUAAUUGCAGUUGUGUGGAAAUGGCCCAGUGUGACCUUGGAAAACUGCUUAACCUUUCGGAUCCUCAGGUUCUCCAUCUGUAAAGCGAAUACUGUAGCUGCCUCUCCUUCAUUUCAAUGGAAUGCUUUGAGAAUUGAUUAGAUAGUGUGCAUAAAGCAAGCUGACCUCCUCAAGAAGGAAUACAAUGUAUGAUUUUAUUUCUCCUCUCAAAGCUCUUAGACCAGGCCUCUCCAGUACAACGUGGUCAUUAUCUGUGCCUUUGGACUGCCUGGAGAGGAAAUUCACACCAUUCAGGGCAAAACAAUCCACUCCAGUUUCUAAAUGGUGGGGAUUGUCUUUCUAUGGAGCACAAAUUCAACAGAUGGUUGCCAACCUUCCACUUGAUUUUGUGGCUCUUUAAACUGUGUUCAUUAAAACUUCAGCUUGCGGACGGCUUUGUAGAGACUUGGAGGGAUAUGUGAAUGACCGUUUGUGAUAUAACAGAUAGAUACAGCCUGGGUUUUGGGUCUUCGAUUCUUAGAAGCAGUUGUUAAAUUAACAUGUAAAAUAACAAUCAGGAUCACUCUAUCAGUAAUUAGAAGGGGCUUAAUUCAUUUCUCACAUGUUUGUGUAUAAUCUUCUGUUGUCAACAUUUUGGAACUUCACUAAUAAAUGUAUUUUGCAGUAUUUGGGCACAAUCAUGUUUCAUGUUGAAUUUCAAGUUCCUUUUUUUCAGAAGACGGAACACAAACCUGAACCAAGGUUUUGGGGAAACAGAGACCAAGUCUGUUUCUGUUUUUGUUUUACAAUGUUUAGAGAUGUAUAAUGCCAUGCACUUUUGAUUUAAAUCUGCCAUAGUUUAUUUUUCCUUCCUUUCUCCCAUUCUUUUCUGAACAUGCACGCAUACAUGUAUUCACUAUUUAGCUUGUGAAGUUUUCAUUUAUUUAGCAAAUGCCCUGCUUUACGGAACAUUCUGACUGUUUCCUUGGACCAUUUUGCUGCAAGAAAUAAAUGUAUUCUUUAAAUGAUUUAUUUCUUUUUCUAUCAAC
Non-coding RNA from Manis javanica (Malayan pangolin), 4254 nucleotides. NCBI's taxonomy places the organism in Eukaryota, Metazoa, Chordata, Mammalia, Pholidota, Manidae. The record is from RefSeq and is a predicted model, not a curated record.